Molecule: long non-coding RNA, 400 nt
Filed under: Linum usitatissimum (flax)
Lineage: Eukaryota; Viridiplantae; Streptophyta; Magnoliopsida; Malpighiales; Linaceae
Description: long non-coding RNA (LUSI_LNC003261)
Source: RNAcentral
AUCAAAGUCCAUGUAGUUCGAGAACACGUACUUUUCACCAAAGCGCGCGGAUGGCUUCAGAAUGUGUUGACUCGAACUUCAAUGCUCUGUCUCGAAUUUUGAUAACCCCCUAAAUCAUUGAUCGACUAAACCAAGUAGUGUCCUAGAUUAUAGUAGAGUCGUGUACAAAUACACUUUCCGUAAAGAAUAUUCCUACCCUUUUCCAAAGUCUAGGUCAAAAGAAAUUUAGUCGUAGGAUAAAACUACCAACACCAUCAAAAUCAAGGCUCAAUGAAAUUGAAGAACACUAAGAACUAGUGAAACGGUAGAUAUUUUGUGAGUGUACAUGCGAAGUACAGAACAACAUGACUACACCGUCAUUACUAAGAAUCAUUGCAUCUCCCAAAUAGAAAAACCUUUU